Molecule: ribosomal RNA, 385 nt
Filed under: uncultured bacterium
Lineage: Bacteria
Description: bacterial SSU rRNA
Rfam family: Bacterial small subunit ribosomal RNA
Source: RNAcentral
GAUGAACGCUAGCGGCAGGCCUAAUACAUGCAAGUCGGACGGGAUUGGAGAGCUUGCUUUCCAUGAGAGUGGCGCACGGGUGCGUAACACGUAUGUAACCUACCCAUAUCAGGGGGAUAGCCUCUCGAAAGAGAGAUUAAGCCCGCAUAACAUCACGGGACAGCAUUGUACUGUGAUCAAAUAUUUAUAGGAUAUGGAUGGGCAUGCGGAACAUUAGCUAGUUGGCGGGGUAACGGCCCACCAAGGCGACGAUGUUUAGGGGAUCUGAGAGGAUGGCCCCCCACACUGGUACUGAGACACGGGACCAGACUCCUACGGGAGGCAGCAGUAAGGAAUAUUGGUCAAUGGGCGAAGCCUGAACCAGCCAUGCCGCGUGCAGGAAGAC